UUUUGAUAAGUAAAAUUUGAAUUAUAAGGAGUACAUGGGGUACUCAACCCUUACAAUUCAAGAUUAAUCACAUUAAAUACAAUCAAAGCAAGCUAAUGGAUUAUUGCACCAUUCUGAAAAAACAACAUUAACAUCACUACCUCGGCCUAUGAACCAAAACCAAGAAAUAUAAAUAAUUUGGUCCACUAAAGUAGCUAUAUUAACAUGUUCACCUUUAAACAAUAUAUUAUUGCGCAUACACCAUAUGCUCCAUGUCGUCGCUAACCAAAUAACAUGUCGGAAUCCUUUGCUAAGUUUACCUAUUGCAAUGUCUCCAAACAAAAUAAAAUGUUGAUGGAUAUCUUCAAAAGAUAAGCAGUUUCUGUCCAUCCACCUAAAUAUGUUAUGCCACACUUGUUGAGUCACUUGACAAUUGAAAAAAAUAUGUUGAGAAUCCUCCACCUCCCUAAAGCAGAAAAU
RNAcentral lists this long non-coding RNA (459 nucleotides) under Trifolium pratense (red clover). RNAcentral's name for it is "long non-coding RNA (TPRA_LNC012279)". Lineage: Eukaryota; Viridiplantae; Streptophyta; Magnoliopsida; Fabales; Fabaceae. The record is from RNAcentral.